CCAACGAGGGCACCCGGAGAAGUAGCUCUCUCUCGGCUCUGUCCGCGUGGCGCACGGGAGCGUAGGCCUGAGGGCCCGAGACGUAUAUUCCCCUUCCACAUCGUUGGAGAACAAGCCGGGCCUCGUGCCUGCAGCCUGCAUAUUCCUACUGCUUCUCUGAGCCCGUCGGGCAGUGACAGAGGAGAUAAACCAUGCAGGAAACAUCC
Small nucleolar RNA from Coturnix japonica (Japanese quail), 206 nucleotides. Its record names the gene SNORA73. It matches the Rfam family "Small nucleolar RNA SNORA73 family". From Rfam's summary of the family: U17 (SNORA73A and SNORA73B) also known as E1 belongs to the H/ACA class of small nucleolar RNAs (snoRNAs). Vertebrate U17 is intron-encoded and ranges in length from 200-230 nucleotides, longer than most snoRNAs. The record is from Ensembl. NCBI's taxonomy places the organism in Eukaryota, Metazoa, Chordata, Aves, Galliformes, Phasianidae.